UGAAACCGUGUACGUACAAGCAGUGGGAGCCCUGAUUUAUCAGGGUGACUGCGUACCUUUUGUAUAAUGGGUCAGCGACUUAUAUUCUGUAGCAAGGUUAACCGAAUAGGGGAGCCGGAGGGAAACCGAGUCUUAACUGGGCGUUAAGUUGCAGGGUAUAGACCCGAAACCCGGUGAUCUAGCCAUGGGCAGGUUGAAGGUUGGGUAACACUAACUGGAGGACCGAACCGACUAAUGUUGAAAAAUUAGCGGAUGACUUGUGGCUGGGGGUGAAAGGCCAAUCAAACCGGGAGAUAGCUGGUUCUCCCCGAAAGCUAUUUAGGUAGCGCCUCGUGAAUUCAUCUCCGGGGGUAGAGCACUGUUUCGGCAAGGGGGUCAUCCCGACUUACCAACCCGAUGCAAACUGCGAAUACCGGAGAAUGUUAUCACGGGAGACACACGGCGGGUGCUAACGUCCGUCGUGAAGAGGGAAACAACCCAGACCGCCAGCUAAGGUCCCAAAGUCAUGGUUAAGUGGGAAACGAUGUGGGAAGGCCCAGACAGCCAGGAUGUUGGCUUAGAAGCAGCCAUCAUUUAAAGAAAGCGUAAUAGCUCACUGGUCGAGUCGGCCUGCGCGGAAGAUGUAACGGGGCUAAACCAUGCAC
This 644-nucleotide ribosomal RNA is filed under the name Escherichia albertii. RNAcentral describes it as "partial 23S ribosomal RNA". It matches the Rfam family "Bacterial large subunit ribosomal RNA", at positions 551 to 1194 of the family's 2925-position model. The record is from RNAcentral. Lineage: Bacteria; Pseudomonadati; Pseudomonadota; Gammaproteobacteria; Enterobacterales; Enterobacteriaceae.